RNAcentral lists this long non-coding RNA (4088 nucleotides) under Panax ginseng (ginseng). Its description in RNAcentral is "long non-coding RNA (PGIN_LNC000090)". The record is from RNAcentral. Lineage: Eukaryota; Viridiplantae; Streptophyta; Magnoliopsida; Apiales; Araliaceae.
GUCGUCUCAAUUAUUAAUUUAAUAAUAUAAAAUAUUGUGCAGAUGAUACUGUGACACCCCCAAAAUAGGUAUACAUCACCCAUCUUGGGUCGCCAGAAAAUACACUACUUACAACUCCAUUUAUACAAUUAUCGUGCAAAAUACAACAACUUAUAUACUGUGGGUUUCAAUACAAAUAUUGUUACGUAUAUAAUACGACAAUAUUCAUAUUUAAAUUAUUACAAUGCCAUAUAAAGUACAGCAGCAAGUAUAUCAAGUCCCUAAAUGGACACGAGAAGAUUUCUGUUCUCCUCAUUCUAAUGGAGUGCACCUUUGACGCUUCCAAAUUCUGAUUUCGCCUCACCCUAUUGUUGUUCACCAAAAUUAAAUAUCAAAUGAUGUAUAAAAUAUGUCACACCCAUUUUAAGUUCUCAGUACAAUUAUUAUGCCACACCGUUUCAUAAUUUGGUUAGGCUUGUGACUAAUUCGUAUACCACUUUAUACCUAUGUUCUCCCUGCUAGUCUCAGCUACACUUUUAUUACCUGAAAGGGGUGGUGAAAUAAAAGGGUGAGCACAACUAACUCAGUAAAGAAUAUCAUGACUUAAGAUAAUUAAAUUAUCAAAAGAAUUCAUAUAUUUAUAACAUAUGGUAAAAGAUAAAAGUUUUCAACCAUAAUAGCAGCGGAAUCAACAAUCCAUUAGAAGAGUCAAGUAGAACAUAAUGUCUACUAUAUUCUCUAGAUUAAAAGUCCAUCAUUAAUAUUUCAUUCCUGUAAUACUCAUCAAUAGUUCUUUGUUAUCCACAAGACAAAGAGAAAUCUCAUCACCUGUCUUCACCUGAACCACCACAGAUUAUAAUUAAAUUCAUAAUUCAUAUUUAUAAUCAGGUAAAUCAACAGUUCAUACAACUGUAAAAUCAAUAACAAACAGUUCAUCUUUGCACUACAGGCCAAAGAUAUACAACUAUAAAACCAAUAAUGCUGAGACUCAACUUAAUAGUAUCACGACCACGAAUUAUUCAUGCACUACGGGCCAAGGAUAUUCGUGUUUUCAAUUACGGUCAUGAUUAUACCGAAUAAUCCUUGGUCAUAAUCAUACCAAGUCCAUCUAUACACUACAGGCCAAAGAUGACUUUUACCACAUCAUUUGUAACAUUACGAUCAUGAUUAUACUGAAUAAUCCCUGGUCAUAAUCAUACCAAGUCCAUCUAUGCACUACUGGCCAUAGAUGACUUUCAACACAAUAUAAGUAUGAGAAUGAUGACAAUGAUAUAUAUAAUGAAUAAACAUAAAUCAUCAGAAUAAUAAGAUAACAUAGAUCUUAGUAUUUUUCAACUUAAUUAUCCAGAGUCCAAAUUGAUAAUAAUAGAUGAAUCACAAACUAUUAAGGAUAUUCUAAUCCUUUCAGGAAUUUUCACCAUUUAAUGCUAAACUGAAUAAACGAAUAAUAAUAUCUUACCAUAACAUGGGGUAUGAAAGAAAAUGAUAUGCCUUUUACCAUAAAAAAGAUACCCUCUUACCACAAUAAUGAUAUCCCUUACCUUAUCAUGUGACUUGAUUCUGCUUUCUGUGAAAUUGAUCAACUUAAACAAUGCUUGCAUUCCUUAGCUACACUUGGAGUAACAUCACACUCAAUAGAAAUACUCACAAUAUUAUACACACAAUAUUGUAGUAAUAAAAUUCUAUAUUUUUAGUGUAAUGAUGGUGUGUGUUUAGUUGCUCAACCGGGCAACCUAUUUAUACUGAAAAUUUAGUAAAUAAUUAGCACACCUGCUUUGACAAAAUAACCAAAUGAGGUAUAUGGUAGUGGAGUUUAUGGUCCCACAGAGAAAAUUAGACCAACUUGUACACGUUUUAAAAAUAAUUGAGUUGUGGUCCAGACUACUUUAAAAAAAGUAGAGUGUCGACAAGUCCUGCCAACUUACUUUUGUAAAAAAGAAAAUAAUUGAAUAAUCAUCUGUAUAUCAAACUUAUCUUUAAUCAACAACUUUUAUUCAUCAAUUAUUUACACAUUUUCAUUCUUUCAGGAAUUAUUCACCAUUAUUAACAAAGGUUCACAAUACUGCCAACUGGUUUAAUUAUAUCAUAUCAAAUAAUAUGAGUCAAUGUGCAAUAACUACUGUGACAAUUAUUGAAUGAAAGACUGAGUGGCUUCUUACGUAAAAAUCAAAUCAAUACAUUGCUAUAAACAAUUUAAAUUCUAUUAAAAGUAGGGAUCAACACCAAAUCAUAUUUAUCUCGAAUAACACAUAAACUAACUAACAAUUCAUUAUUCAUUCAAGUUAUCUCUAUUUAUUGCAUAAAAUCAUUAUUCAUAUUUCAAAACUUUAGAAGUGGAUAAUUAAAACUUGAGAAAUCUAAACCUCAUAUAUGACAAUCCACUAUUGUGGUAUCAUCACAAUUUUUACUUUAACAAAAAUAUUAUUUUUGUUUUUUAUCAUAACUCAUUCGUUACUAGUGCGUUUACAUCCUGACACCUCAUGAGCAUACUAACACUUCUAAAAUAUUCAAAAAUAGGAUUCUGAAUUUUCCAAGUAAUUUUCAUAUUUUUCAGAUUAACCAACAAUUUUCAAUAAUUAUUUCUAUUUAUAAAAACUAUCAUUUAAUAGCUUCAAAUUAGAAAUACUAACUCCACAUAAUUAUAUAUCUUAAAAACAUCAUCAAUAUUAAUCUUAUAUUAUUAUAACAUUUUUCAGCAAAAAUCUUAAUUUUCCACCAUUCAUAGAAUUUUCUAUGAAUUUCCUCUACUUUUAAACUAACCAUAAAUAGUUUAAAUAUAUAAUAAAUAUUUCUGUUAUUCAAUAAUUUUCCAAAACUAUCCAAAAAAUUAUAAAAUAACAUUAUAAGAUUUUUCACCAAAUUUCAUAAUUUUUCAUCAUUCAUGGAAUAUUCUAUGAAUUUCUUCUAUUUUCAAACUAACUAUAAUUAGUUUUAAAAUACAAUAAUUACUUCUGCUUUUCAAUAAUUCAUCAAAAAUUUACAGAAAUUCUAAGAUGAUAUAAUAAGCAUUCUGUAAAAAUAUUUCAACCCAAAUCAUUUUUUUGAUAAUUUAAUUAUAAACUCCAAUAUUCAGAAAUUUCAAUAAUUCAUAAUAAUUAUCCUUUUAUCAGAAAAAUAAAGAUCUUAUGCCCUUUUCAUGUAAAAUUUAAUUCUCUACAACUUUGUAGAAGAAAGUUUUCCCAAAUUCUGACUCUAACAUAGAGAUAUAUUCUUACCGAAAAAUUCUGCUUGAAGAUUUCCGAACCAGCCACCUCACAAAAUUCAUAACAAAUCAUAAAUUAAUCUUUAACGGUUCAGACUUUGCAGACAUAUACUUAACUUAUAUGUAUAACAUAUCCGAAAAUCACAACGAUCCAACGGUCGGAUUAACAAUUAUAACUCACACAACAGAGCUUAAUAAAACUGAUUUUUCGGACUAUAAGUCAUUCGGACCAGUUCUACUCAAACUGUCACCACGAAAAAUCUACAAAGAAUUUUUGGGUGAUUCAAAUUUCUGUAGUUAGCUUACUUUCAGGGCUUUCUUUUGAUAUAUGGCUCAUCUCCUAACUCAUUAUACACAAAGAGUUAUUGAUUUUACAAAAUUAAGUAGUAAACUAGUUUUAUGAAAAUCUCCAUAUUUUGUUCUUCAUUUGAUUUCUAGAUUUCUCUCACUUGACUCAUGUUUAUACAAGUUUAAAUCAUUCAACAUAUACAUAAGUAUUUACUCUUUACAUAAAAUCCAUAAAACUUAAAUCUAAGAAUAAAUCAAGGAUUUAUAAACAUACCUUCUUAAUUUUCUCAAGCUUUUCCAUUACACCCACUUGAUUCUCUCACUAGCUUCUUGGAUAUUUUAUUGGAUGAAGAUAAAUAUGGUGAUCAUAGAAUGAUUAAGGAUGAAGAAGAUAUGAAAUUUUUGAUUUUCUCUUCUUCCUCCUCCUCAUCUCUCUCUCUCUCUCUCUUUUAUUUCUGAUUUCCCGUGAGUAGAAAUGGGUGAAUAUCUCAUCUCUUUCUUCUUCUUCUUCUUCUCAUUCUUCUCUCUCUCUCUUCUCUAUUCUUUUCUCUCCCCUAAUCUAAGCCUCCCGUGAAUGGAAGAAAUGGGGUGCAUUCUUUUUAUUUCCUUUUCUCUCUCC